CUGUGAGCUCGAUGAGUAGGGCGGGACACGUGGUAUCCUGUCUGAAUAUGGGGGGACCAUCCUCCAAGGCUAAAUACUCCUGACUGACCGAUAGUGAACCAGUACCGUGAGGGAAAGGCGAAAAGAACCCCGGCGAGGGGAGUGAAAAAGAACCUGAAACCGUGUACGUACAAGCAGUGGGAGCACGCUUAGGCGUGUGACUGCGUACCUUUUGUAUAAUGGGUCAGCGACUUAUAUUCUGUAGCAAGGUUAACCGAAUAGGGGAGCCGAAGGGAAACCGAGUCUUAACUGGGCGUUAAGUUGCAGGGUAUAGACCCGAAACCCGGUGAUCUAGCCAUGGGCAGGUUGAAGGUUGGGUAACACUAACUGGAGGACCGAACCGACUAAUGUUGAAAAAUUAGCGGAUGACUUGUGGCUGGGGGUGAAAGGCCAAUCAAACCGGGAGAUAGCUGGUUCUCCCCGAAAGCUAUUUAGGUAGCGCCUCGUGAAUUCAUCUCCGGGGGUAGAGCACUGUUUCGGCAAGGGGGUCAUCCCGACUUACCAACCCGAUGCAAACUGCGAAUACCGGAGAAUGUUAUCACGGGAGACACACGGCGGGUGCUAACGUCCGUCGUGAAGAGGGAAACAACCCAGACCGCCAGCUAAGGUCCCAAAGUCAUGGUUAAGUGGGAAACGAUGUGGGAAGGCCCAGACAGCCAGGAUGUUGGCUUAGAAGCAGCCAUCAUUUAAAGAAAGCGUAAUAGCUCACUGGUCGAGUCGGCCUGCGCGGAAGAUGUAACGGGGCUAAACCAUGCACCGAAGCUGCGGCAGCGACGCUGAUGCGUUGUUGGGUAGGGGAGCGUUCUGUAAGCCUGCGAAGGUGUGCUGUGAGGCAUGCUGGAGGUAUCAGAAGUGCGAAUGCUGACAUAAGUAACGAUAAAGCGGGUGAAAAGCCCGCUCGCCGGAAGACCAAGGGUUCCUGUCCAACGUUAAUCGGGGCAGGGUGAGUCGACCCCUAAGGCGAGGCCGAAAGGCGUAGUCGAUGGGAAACAGGUUAAUAUUCCUGUACUUGGUGUUACUGCGAAGGGGGGACGGAGAAGGCUAUGUUGGCCGGGCGACGGUUGUCCCGGUUUAAGCGUGUAGGCUGGUUUUCCAGGCAAAUCCGGAAAAUCAAGGCUGAGGCGUGAUGACGAGGCACUACGGUGCUGAAGCAACAAAUGCCCUGCUUCCAGGAAAAGCCUCUAAGCAUCAGGUAACAUCAAAUCGUACCCCAAACCGACACAGGUGGUCAGGUAGAGAAUACCAAGGCGCUUGAGAGAACUCGGGUGAAGGAACUAGGCAAAAUGGUGCCGUAACUUCGGGAGAAGGCACGCUGAUAUGUAGGUGAAGUCCCUCGCGGAUGGAGCUGAAAUCAGUCGAAGAUACCAGCUGGCUGCAACUGUUUAUUAAAAACACAGCACUGUGCAAACACGAAAGUGGACGUAUACGGUGUGACGCCUGCCCGGUGCCGGAAGGUUAAUUGAUGGGGUUAGCGCAAGCGAAGCUCUUGAUCGAAGCCCCGGUAAACGGCGGCCGUAACUAUAACGGUCCUAAGGUAGCGAAAUUCCUUGUCGGGUAAGUUCCGACCUGCACGAAUGGCGUAAUGAUGGCCAGGCUGUCUCCACCCGAGACUCAGUGAAAUUGAACUCGCUGUGAAGAUGCAGUGUACCCGCGGCAAGACGGAAAGACCCCGUGAACCUUUACUAUAGCUUGACACUGAACAUUGAGCCUUGAUGUGUAGGAUAGGUGGGAGGCUUUGAAGUGU
Molecule: ribosomal RNA, 1783 nt
Filed under: Escherichia coli
Lineage: Bacteria; Pseudomonadati; Pseudomonadota; Gammaproteobacteria; Enterobacterales; Enterobacteriaceae
Description: partial 23S ribosomal RNA
Rfam family: Bacterial large subunit ribosomal RNA
Source: RNAcentral